UAUGGCUUUUUAUUCCUAUGUGAUGGUGUGUGUGUGUCUCGCCUAGGGGUGAAAGCCAUGGG
RNAcentral lists this microRNA precursor (62 nucleotides) under Callorhinchus milii (elephant shark). Its description in RNAcentral is "Cmi-Mir-135-P4_pre stem-loop". Lineage: Eukaryota; Metazoa; Chordata; Chondrichthyes; Chimaeriformes; Callorhinchidae. The record is from RNAcentral.